GUCAGAUGUGACAUCAUGAUGACCCAGUCUCCAUCCUUGCCUGUGUCUCCUGGAGACAGAUCAAAAUCUACUGCAGGGCCAGUCAGGGUAUUAGCAAUGGAUUGCACUGGUAUCAGCAGAAACCAGGCCAAGCUCCUAAGCUCCUCAUCUAUGGUGCAACCAAUCUGCAACCUGGAGUCCCCUCAAGGUUCAGUGGCAGUGGAUCUGGGACAGAUUAUUCUCUCACCAUCAACAGCCUGGAGCCUGAAGAUGUUGACACUUAUUACUGUAAACAGUAUAAUAGUCUCCAACCCACAGUGAUACAGGCCAUGACAAAAAC
Molecule: long non-coding RNA, 319 nt
Filed under: Marmota monax (woodchuck)
Lineage: Eukaryota; Metazoa; Chordata; Mammalia; Rodentia; Sciuridae
Source: RNAcentral